RNAcentral lists this ribosomal RNA (253 nucleotides) under uncultured bacterium. RNAcentral describes it as "partial 16S ribosomal RNA". It matches the Rfam family "Bacterial small subunit ribosomal RNA", at positions 524 to 776 of the family's 1533-position model. The record is from RNAcentral.
CACGUAGGGCGCAAGCGUUGUCCGGAAUUAUUGGGCGUAAAGAGCUCGUAGGCGGCUUGUUGCGUCGACCGUGAAAACCCGGGGCUCAACUUCGGGCUUGCGGUUGAUACGGGCGGGCUGGAGUUCGGUAGGGGAGACUGGAAUUCCUGGUGUAGCGGUGAAAUGCGCAGAUAUCAGGAGGAACACCGGUGGCGAAGGCGGGUCUCUGGGCCGAUACUGACGCUGAGGAGCGAAAGCGUGGGGAGCGAACAGG